CGAAGGGGGCUAGCGUUGCUCGGAAUCACUGGGCGUAAAGCGCCCGUAGGCGGACUCUUAAGUCAGGGGUGAAAUCCUGGAGCUCAACUCCAGAACUGCCUUUGAUACUGGGAGCCUUGAGUUCGGGAGAGGUGAGUGGAACUGCGAGUGUAGAGGUGAAAUUCGUAGAUAUUCGCAAGAACACCAGUGGCGAAGGCGGCUCACUGGCCCGAUACUGACGCUGAGGUGCGAAAGCGUGGGGAGCAAACAGG
RNAcentral lists this ribosomal RNA (251 nucleotides) under uncultured bacterium. RNAcentral's name for it is "partial 16S ribosomal RNA". It matches the Rfam family "Bacterial small subunit ribosomal RNA", at positions 526 to 776 of the family's 1533-position model. The record is from RNAcentral.